GGGUUGUGAGGUUAAGCGACUAAGCGUACACGGUGGAUGCCCUGGCAGUCAGAGGCGAUGAAGGACGUGCUAAUCUGCGAAAAGCGUCGGUAAGGUGAUAUGAACCGUUAUAGCCGGCGAUGUCCGAAUGGGGAAACCCAGUGCAAUUCGUUGCACUAUCGUUAACUGAAUACAUAGGUUAACGAGGCGAACCGGGGGAACUGAAACAUCUA
RNAcentral lists this ribosomal RNA (212 nucleotides) under Klebsiella pneumoniae. RNAcentral's name for it is "partial 23S ribosomal RNA". It matches the Rfam family "Bacterial large subunit ribosomal RNA", at positions 1 to 204 of the family's 2925-position model. The record is from RNAcentral. Lineage: Bacteria; Pseudomonadati; Pseudomonadota; Gammaproteobacteria; Enterobacterales; Enterobacteriaceae. RNAcentral also lists the same sequence under 1 other name.